RNAcentral lists this ribosomal RNA (730 nucleotides) under uncultured bacterium. Its description in RNAcentral is "bacterial SSU rRNA". It matches the Rfam family "Bacterial small subunit ribosomal RNA", at positions 771 to 1501 of the family's 1533-position model. The record is from RNAcentral.
AACAGGAUUAGAUACCCUGGUAGUCCACGCUGUAAACGAUGUCGACUUGGAGGUUGUUCCCUUGAGGAGUGGCUUCCGGAGCUAACGCGUUAAGUCGACCGCCUGGGGAGUACGGCCGCAAGGUUAAAGCUCAAAUGAAUUGACGGGGGCCCGCACAAGCGGUGGAGCAUGUGGUUUAAUUCGAUGCAACGCGAAGAACCUUACCUACUCUUGACAUCCAGAGAACUUAGCAGAGAUGCUUUGGUGCCUUCGGGAACUCUGAGACAGGUGCUGCAUGGCUGUCGUCAGCCCGUGUUGUGAAAUGUUGGGUUAAGUCCCGCAACGAGCGCAACCCUUAUCCUUUGUUGCCGGCGGUUAGGCCGGGAACUCAAAGGGGACUGCCAGUGAUAAACUGGAGGAAGGUGGGGAUGACGUCAAGUCAUCAUGGCCCUUACGAGUAGGGCUACACACGUGCUACAAUGGCAUAUACAAAGAGAAGCGACCUCGCGAGAGCAAGCGGACCUCAUAAAGUAUGUCGUAGUCCGGAUUGGAGUCUGCAACUCGACUCCAUGAAGUCGGAAUCGCUAGUAAUCGUGGAUCAGAAUGCCACGGUGAAUACGUUCCCGGGCCUUGUACACACCGCCCGUCACACCAUGGGAGUGGGUUGCAAAAGAAGUAGGUAGCUUAACCUUCGGGAGGGCGCUUACCACUUUGUGAUUCAUGACUGGGGUGAAGUCGUAACAAGGUAACC